Bos grunniens (domestic yak) is the source of this 94-nucleotide microRNA precursor. Ensembl annotates it as microRNA 31. Its record names the gene MIR31. NCBI's taxonomy places the organism in Eukaryota, Metazoa, Chordata, Mammalia, Artiodactyla, Bovidae. The record is from Ensembl.
UCCUGUAACUUGGAACUGGAGAGGAGGCAAGAUGCUGGCAUAGCUGUUGAACUGCGAACCUGCUAUGCCAACAUAUUGCCAUCUCUCUUGUCCG